GGAGGGAUGGCAGAGCGGUUGAAUGCACCGGUCUUGAAAACCGGCGUAGGUUAAUAGCCUACCCAGGGUUCGAAUCCCUGUCCCUCCG
Transfer RNA from Halomonas huangheensis, 88 nucleotides. It matches the Rfam family "tRNA". Rfam says of the family: Transfer RNA (tRNA) molecules are approximately 80 nucleotides in length. Their secondary structure includes four short double-helical elements and three loops (D, anti-codon, and T loops). The record is from Rfam. NCBI's taxonomy places the organism in Bacteria, Pseudomonadati, Pseudomonadota, Gammaproteobacteria, Oceanospirillales, Halomonadaceae.